AGUGAACGCUGGCGGUAGGCCUAACACAUGCAAGUCGAACGGCAGCACAGUAAGAGCUUGCUCUUACGGGUGGCGAGUGGCGGACGUGUGAGGAAUACAUCGUAAUCUACUUUUUCGUGGGGGAUAACGUAGGGAAACUUACUCUAAUACCGCAUACGACCUACGGGGGAAAGCAGGGGAUCUUCUGACCUUGCGCGAUUGAAUGAGCCGAUGUCGGAUUAGCUAGUUGGCGGGGUAAAGGCCCACCAAGGCGACGAUCCGUAGCUGGUCUGAGAGGAUGGUAAGCCACACUGGAACUGAGACACGGUCCAGACUACUACGGGAGGCAGCAGUGGGGAAUAUUGGACAAUGGGCGCAAGCCUGAUACAGCCAUACCGCGUGGGUGAAGAAGGCCUUCGGGUUGUAAAGCCCUUUUGUUGGGAAAGAAAAGCAGCAGGUUAAUACCACGCUGUUCUGACGGUACCCAAAGAAUAAGCACCGGCUAACUUCGUG
RNAcentral lists this ribosomal RNA (492 nucleotides) under uncultured bacterium. Its description in RNAcentral is "partial 16S ribosomal RNA". It matches the Rfam family "Bacterial small subunit ribosomal RNA", at positions 29 to 507 of the family's 1533-position model. The record is from RNAcentral.